RNAcentral lists this ribosomal RNA (870 nucleotides) under uncultured bacterium. RNAcentral's name for it is "bacterial SSU rRNA". It matches the Rfam family "Bacterial small subunit ribosomal RNA", at positions 643 to 1533 of the family's 1533-position model. The record is from RNAcentral.
AGAGUAUGAUAGAGGAAAGCAGAAUUUCUAGUGUAGAGGUGAAAUUCGUAGAUAUUAGAAAGAAUACCAAUUGCGAAGGCAGCUUUCUGGAUCAUUACUGACACUGAGGAACGAAAGCAUGGGUAGCGAAGAGGAUUAGAUACCCUCGUAGUCCAUGCCGUAAACGAUGUGUGUUAGACGUUGGAAAUUUAUUUUCAGUGUCGCAGCGAAAGCGAUAAACACACCGCCUGGGGAGUACGACCGCAAGGUUAAAACUCAAAUGAAUUGACGGGGACCCGCACAAGUAGUGGAGCAUGUGGUUUAAUUCGAAGAUACGCGCAGAACCUUACCAACACUUGACAUGUUCGUCGCGACUCUAAGAGAUUAGAGUUUUCGGUUCGGCCGGACGAAACACAGGUGCUGCAUGGCUGUCGUCAGCUCGUGUCGUGAGAUGUUGGGUUAAGUCCCGCAACGAGCGCAACCCUCACUUUUAGUUGCCAUCAUUAAGUUGGGCACUCUGAAAGAACUGCCAGUGAUAAGCUGGAGGAAGGUGGGGAUGACGUCAGUCCUCAUGGCCCUACGUGUUGGGCUACACACGUGCUACAUGUAUCUACACAGAAGCAGACUGCGAGUCAGCAAUCCUUAAAGAUACCUCAGUCGGAUUGCACUCUGCACUCGAGUGCAUGAGCUGGAUUACUAGUAUCGUGGAUCAGCGUGCCACGUGAUGCGUCCCGGUCUUGUAACAACGCCGUCACACCAUGGAGUGUCUACUAGCAGUUCAACCUGACACGGAUAGUCACGGACUGGUGAGUCUACAGUAAGCGAUCGUUAACUGCAGACUAGUCCUUAUGAGGUAAUCUGAGCUGCGUAUCUGCUAGCUGGUCUCUGAGA